Homo sapiens (human) is the source of this 606-nucleotide long non-coding RNA. RefSeq lists it as uncharacterized. The transcript is spliced from 3 exons. The record is from RefSeq and is a predicted model, not a curated record. NCBI's taxonomy places the organism in Eukaryota, Metazoa, Chordata, Mammalia, Primates, Hominidae.
GUCACAUCACCUAGGUGUUGGGUCCAGCAAUAUGUCACUAUACACCCUGAGGGGUGGGCCCAGGCAAGAGACUCACAUCACCUAGGUGAGGGGUCCAGAGAUAUGUCAUGAGGCCCCCUUGUGGGCAGGGCUCAGGAAGGAGAGAAACUGCUGUUCUCAAUGUCACCAAUCACAUGGACAUCACAAAUCACUUGCAAAGUCAACAGACUCUUGUCUGCCCGCACAGUCUUCAGAAAAUGUGUCCAGGUGAAUUCAAAGCAAGGCAUUCUAAUUAGAACAAUGUACAGAAGGAAAGAAGGUAUGAGAGUCUGAGGGGAGUUUGAGGAACAGAAAGUAGACAGGGCAUCUCUGAAUUGGGGACUCUGAUUGGCCCAGAAGGAAUCAACUACUAUGUCUGUGUGCAUAAGAACAGAGAUAGGCAAAGUUGACUGUAAGAAAUGGAACAUCCGGGCCACGCACAGUGGCUCACACCUGUAAUCCCAGCACUUUGGGAGGCUGAGGCGGGAGGAUCACGAGGUCAGCAGGUCAAGACCAUCCUGGCUAACACAGUGAAACCCCAUCUCCACUAAAAACAAAAAUAAAAAAAAAUUAGCUGGUCAUGGUGGC